RNAcentral lists this ribosomal RNA (253 nucleotides) under uncultured bacterium. Its description in RNAcentral is "partial 16S ribosomal RNA". It matches the Rfam family "Bacterial small subunit ribosomal RNA", at positions 524 to 776 of the family's 1533-position model. The record is from RNAcentral.
UACGAAGGUCCCAAGCGUUGUUCGGAAUUACUGGGCGUAAAGCGUGUGUAGGCGGCAGGGUAAGUCAGAUGUGAAAUCCCGGGGCUCAACCCCGGAACGGCAUCCGAUACUGCCUUGCUUGAGUAGUGGAGGGGAGCCUGGAAUUCACGGUGUAGCAGUGAAAUGCGUGGAUAUCGUGAGGAACACUCGUGGCGAAGGCGAGGCUCUGGACACUUACUGACGCUGAGACACGAAGGCCAGGGGAGCAAAAAGG